RNAcentral lists this long non-coding RNA (1257 nucleotides) under Olea europaea subsp. europaea. The record is from RNAcentral. Lineage: Eukaryota; Viridiplantae; Streptophyta; Magnoliopsida; Lamiales; Oleaceae.
UUCAGUAAUCAGACUUUGGGUUUGCUCCUCAAUGAUUAUCAGUUUGAGUUCCCUCAAAGCCACUGAGAUAAGUACUCAACUAUAAACUUCAGGAUCUUGUGAGAUUAGUCGAGGUGUACGUAAGUUGGCCCGGACACCAACUGUCAUAAAAAAAAUAAAAAUUUAAAUAUAUGAAAAAAUUGUGAUGUCAAUUUUGUACUUUAGUUUUACAAAAAUAUGAAGUCGUGUGAUUAAUAUAAACGAUUUAUUUUACUACAAUUUAAAUUUAAUCAUAUAAACAUAAUCAUCUAGUCCUGCAUUUCAGUUGUAAUGGUUUUAGAGAGAUGAAGGUGAAAAAAAUUAUUUUUCUUUUUAUCAUUUUGUUAUUUUAGAUUAAGAAAAAGUCUUCUUCUUUAAUUUCUUUUAUUUUCUUACAUGUAAUUGGAAGUGAUUUUAGGACAUAAGGCAUGUGAAGGCACGGGCAUUUUUUAUGGUGAAAUUGGAUGGUAAGUGACACAGUGGUUCAGUGUCACGACAUAUUCUCUGUACAUUUGGGACCAUUUCUUCAACGUGGGUGUCUUUGUCUUCUUUUGAAAUUUCAAUUGCCAUUGAAUAGUUUGAUAAUUGUGGCUCCUAAUUUUUCUGGAAAUUUCAAUGUGGCUGUAGAAAAGUUUGAUAGUUGUCACUCUCAUACGUAGGACCGGCUAAAACAAAGGCAUCACUAUGAAAAACGCGUUUAUAAAAAUGUUUUAUUUAAACAUUUUUCUACACCGAAAGUAGCGUUUGAUUAUCUUAAAAUUGUGAAUAUAAUGGGAUGCUAUUUGAUUGAUGAGAAGAGUACGAUGAUUGCGAACACCCAAAAAGUCUUUCAUCAAGGAGCCAGUUGAUUGAUUCUGCGUGGAUAUUUAUGUUACUGUUUUGGCUGAUAAAAUUAGAUCCGCUUGUCAGGGACGAGGAGGGAUUUGAACGCCCAACACCAUAGUUCGUAGCCACGUGCGAACCUUAAUGCUUUCUUCCUCUUUCCCUUCUUCUCAAGCUCUUACUCUUAUUGGCACAAAUAAAGUGUACGGCCAGACAACUUUUUCAAGAUCUCGGAUUGAAUCGGUAUAUCAAUAGAUAUAUAAUAUCUAUUUUGGGAUAUAAAAUUAAAUUUUAGAUCUCAUCACGGAGUUGACUUUGUGUAAGCCAAACAUGUUUUACAUACAUGUGUUGUUUUAGAACUGUUUUGAAUGAAUGUAUUGUAAAAUAAUUAAUGCUGUUUUUAUUGGUCUCCUUAUU